Molecule: transfer RNA, 72 nt
Filed under: Trichonephila inaurata madagascariensis
Lineage: Eukaryota; Metazoa; Arthropoda; Arachnida; Araneae; Nephilidae
Description: tRNA-Ser
Rfam family: tRNA
About the family: Transfer RNA (tRNA) molecules are approximately 80 nucleotides in length. Their secondary structure includes four short double-helical elements and three loops (D, anti-codon, and T loops). Further hydrogen bonds mediate the characteristic L-shaped molecular structure. tRNAs have two regions of fundamental functional importance: the anti-codon, which is responsible for specific mRNA codon recognition, and the 3' end, to which the tRNAs corresponding amino acid is attached (by aminoacyl-tRNA synthetases). tRNAs cope with the degeneracy of the genetic code in two manners: having more than one tRNA (with a specific anti-codon) for a particular amino acid; and 'wobble' base-pairing, i.e. permitting non-standard base-pairing at the 3rd anti-codon position.
Source: RNAcentral
GGGUGGUAUAGCUCAGUGGUAGAGCAUUCGAUUGCUGAUCAAGAGUCCCCGGUUCAAACCCGGGUGCCCCCU